GCCCCGGUAGCUCAGUUGGCAGAGCAGUGGGCUUUUAACCCAUGUGUCACAGGUUCGAGACCUGUCCGGGGCA
Molecule: transfer RNA, 73 nt
Filed under: bacterium
Lineage: Bacteria
Also listed under: 1 other name
Description: tRNA-Lys
Rfam family: tRNA
About the family: Transfer RNA (tRNA) molecules are approximately 80 nucleotides in length.
Source: RNAcentral